RNAcentral lists this unclassified non-coding RNA (296 nucleotides) under Bombus terrestris (buff-tailed bumblebee). RNAcentral describes it as "misc RNA ENSBTSG00005025478.1". Lineage: Eukaryota; Metazoa; Arthropoda; Insecta; Hymenoptera; Apidae. The record is from RNAcentral.
UUCGUGUUUUCGCGCGUAAUUGGUUUGCGUGUACCGACCAACUCGCUAUUUCCAACCAUCGUACUCGUUAGUUUAUUACUAGUCGUUUUAUUCUCGCGGCGCGAAACUUGCGUCCGUGUUCAGAGUUCGAGCAGAGACUCUCGCGCUCGUUAAACGAAACUCGGUCGAUUUCGAAGUCAACGAUGGAAACAUUGGCCCGUUCCGAUGAGACAGACACGCGUUCGAGAGAGUAUUCGGUCGUCGAGACUCGUGUCCAUCGGCAGCAAGAGGAGGACUGCUUCCAAGUAAUAAUCUCG